RNAcentral lists this ribosomal RNA (460 nucleotides) under uncultured bacterium. RNAcentral's name for it is "partial 16S ribosomal RNA". It matches the Rfam family "Bacterial small subunit ribosomal RNA", at positions 338 to 795 of the family's 1533-position model. The record is from RNAcentral.
CCUACGGGUGGCAGCAGUGAGGAAUAUUGGUCAAUGGGCGCGAGCCUGAACCAGCCAAGUAGCGUGAAGGAUGACUGCCCUACGGGUUGUAAACUUCUUUUAUAAAGGAAUAAAGUGAGGCACGUGUGCCUUUUUGUAUGUACUUUAUGAAUAAGGAUCGGCUAACUCCGUGCCAGCAGCCGCGGUAAUACGGAGGAUCCGAGCGUUAUCCGGAGUUAUUGGGUUUAAAGGGAGCGUAGAUGGGUUGUUAAGUCAGUUGUGAAAGUUUGCGGCGUAACCGUAAAAUUGCAAUUGAUACUGGCAGUCUAGAGGACAGUUGAGGUAGGAGGAAUUCGUGGUGUAGCGGUGAAAUGCUUAGAUAUCACGAAGAACACCGAUUGCGAAGGCAGCUUACUAAACUGCCACUGACAUUGAUGCUCGAAAGUGUGGGUAUCAAACAGGAGUAGAUACCCCGGUAGUC